UACAUUUUAGUAUAUUAUGUACAGGGGUUUUUGAUACCUCAGGGGGCAGGCCGAGGUUCUGUCAAAUGUAA
RNAcentral lists this transfer RNA (71 nucleotides) under Histeridae sp. BMNH 1274329. Its description in RNAcentral is "tRNA-Gln". Lineage: Eukaryota; Metazoa; Arthropoda; Insecta; Coleoptera; Histeridae. The record is from RNAcentral.